This 444-nucleotide ribosomal RNA is filed under the name uncultured bacterium. RNAcentral describes it as "bacterial SSU rRNA". It matches the Rfam family "Bacterial small subunit ribosomal RNA", at positions 29 to 506 of the family's 1533-position model. The record is from RNAcentral.
ACGAACGUUGGCGGCGUGGAUUAGGCAUGCAAGUCGAGGGAAUCCCAGCAAUGGGGGAACCGGCGUAAGGGGCAGUAAGGCAUGGGUACCUACCUUUGGGUUCGGGAUAGCCAUCAGAGAUGGUGGGUAAUACCGGAUGACGUGGUGACACCAAAGAUUUAUCGCCCGGAGAGGGGCCCAUGUGAUAUUAGGUAGUUGGUGAGGUAACGGCUCACCAAGCCGAAGAUGUCUAGCGGGUGUGAGAGCACGACCCGCGCCACUCGCACUGAGACACUGGCGAGACACCUACGGGUGGCUGCAGUCGAGGAUCUUCGUCAAUGGGGGCAACCCUGAACGAGCGACGCCGCGUGUGCGAUGAAGGCCUUCGGGUUGUAAAGCACUGUCGAGGGGGAGAAAAGCCGAAAGGUUUGAUCUAUCUCUGGAGGAAGCACGGGCUAAGUUCGU